GACAGAAACCUCACUGAUGGCAAAUUUAAUUAACAAAUUUGGGGGCGGCUGUAAAAAAGGCCUGUUCAGGUUAGUAUUUUGUUCUGUAUCUCCCGUUUCUGAGUGCACCUGAAUGUGUUGCUCUUUGUCUGAGCGCCCCUGAACGCAGCAUGCACAGCGCAUCUCCUAAGUAACGGCAGUGAGGGAGACAUGCCCAGAUAAGUUUUGGAUUCAACUAAAAGGACUCGUGUAUUUUCUGACGGACUUUUAUUAUUACUGUGUGCGUCCGUGAGACAAAACCACACACAAAUACACACAUUGGUUCAAUUAUUUCAAGGAAAGGAAAGGCCUCAAACUCAUGCCUUGUACUGUUCACCGGAAAUGUAUAUAAAUGGCUUGAACUGGAA
This is a long non-coding RNA of Labrus mixtus (cuckoo wrasse), 386 nucleotides long. RefSeq lists it as uncharacterized. The record is from RefSeq and is a predicted model, not a curated record. Lineage: Eukaryota; Metazoa; Chordata; Actinopteri; Labriformes; Labridae. The transcript has 2 exons.